AUUGACUAAUUUGUGGAUGUUGAACCAUCCUAGCAUCCCCGAAAUAAAUCUCACUUGAUUAUUAUGUAUGAUCCUUUUAGUGUUGUGUUGAAACUGAGGUU
Long non-coding RNA from Lynx canadensis (Canada lynx), 101 nucleotides. RefSeq lists it as uncharacterized. The transcript has 3 exons. Lineage: Eukaryota; Metazoa; Chordata; Mammalia; Carnivora; Felidae. The record is from RefSeq and is a predicted model, not a curated record.